Molecule: long non-coding RNA, 549 nt
Filed under: Nicotiana benthamiana
Lineage: Eukaryota; Viridiplantae; Streptophyta; Magnoliopsida; Solanales; Solanaceae
Description: long non-coding RNA (NBEN_LNC018778)
Source: RNAcentral
ACACGUUAUCAGCACGAGACUCUACCGUCUCAAGAAGCACUUUGAGAAGAUUAAGGAGUAAUUCGCCCACACGAAUUUCGCUAAUUCCGGGCAUUAUCAGGGUCACGCCUCAAGAGAUAAGUAUCGAUUUUAUGUUAGAUUAAAAUCUAUAAUUAUGUGUUAUCUAUAUUACAUACAAGUGAUCCUAGCUAUUUACUUCCGCUAUUCCUUUCUUUGUUACAAUUGAAUUGAUGACUGGUUUAAUUUAGUCGUAUAGUGGAACGAUUCUGGUCAAUUAUGCAAUCAAUAGGUUUUUGGAUUUUUAAAGUUUGCUGAUAGUUUGGAGGUCCAAUGGCAAUCUUGAAUUUCUACACGGAAAAUAUGUCGUGUUCUCUGGCAUCAAAUUGGCCGGGGAGUCGACCAAAGUUGCCAGAAUUUGUUGCCACGGGAUGGAAACUCAAGAGGUACCGCGUUCUCCGGCAUCAAAUUGGCCGCGGGAGUCGACCAAAAUUGCCAGAAUUUGUUGCCACGGGAUGAAAACUCAAGAGGUAUAUUUGAUAUCACAACAUU